Molecule: long non-coding RNA, 2084 nt
Organism: Anguilla rostrata (American eel)
Lineage: Eukaryota; Metazoa; Chordata; Actinopteri; Anguilliformes; Anguillidae
Exons: 2
Source: RefSeq, a predicted model, not a curated record
UAAGGACAGCCGGCAAUUACAUCAUACAUGUGAUAAAAUAUGCAUGUUUUUGUCUCUCUCCCAAAAGAUUAAGUCUAAAUUCUUCUCACAGGUGUUGACUGAAAGAAUUUGUGUGUAGCUAUUUAGCGACCACAUUCUUACUUGCCAAGGUAGUUCUGCUUUUGAGAUUAACCGUUGAGAAGCCUCACAUUUACAACUGUUGCAGUAAGACAGCAUUCAAAUAUUUCACGAAAUGAUUUAUCUUUAAAUACAAACAGGUAAUUCCAGUUUUAUGAGCGCUGCUGCUGCUUAUUAUUAUUAUUAUUAUUAUUGUUAUUAUACCUCUUAAAGAGCAUUUGUGAACACAUUGCCUUCAACCUUCGCAGUCAUUCGCUCUCCCCCCUUGAGUAUUUCAUGUUGGUAGAUCUGUGCUGCUAACCUGUUUUUCCCAACAAUUCUACUCUUAAGCAACACAUUGGAUUCAGUCUCCUCAUUUCAAAACAAGCAUUCUGUACCCAACAUUUUUUUAAACUAGAUUGUGUCAGCAUUAUUGAGAAAAAUCCUAUAGUACUCUAAAACUAAUUCUCUUUUCUAAUGGAAUUGAUUCAAACUGAAUAUAAUACCAUACAAUUAUAUUUUGUUGAUAGAGUAAUUCUAAAAUAAUAUCUAAAAAUGAGCAAUUCUAAAAUCAUACCUGUUGCUUAUCUACUAUCUGAUAUUAUCCUUCACUCUUUGUUGUGAUUAUUUUUAUAAUAACAACUAUUUGAUUCCAAAAUCAUAACAAAAUUGUAUCAUGAUCAACUGCAGGUCAUUCUGGCUAAUUGUCUGUUUUUUAGAAUAAUAACAUAUCUUUGUCAUGAUGACAUUGGUUAAUUUUCGCUAACAUUUUCUCGAGUGUGCUGCAUAAUUGUCUUCAACAAGCUGAAUUGGAUUACAACCGCAAGCUGCGACAAUGUUACCUAACACUAUGCAAGUGGCUCCUCUGUCAAGGCAAGGAUGUGUGUGAGGCAGUAUGUGAAAUGAAAGGUGAUAAAUGUUGAGAGCACAGUUCACAACAAAUAAGUCAAAAUCCCCUUUGAAAAUCAUUGACAGUUUCAAUAUCCAUAUAUGAUGUUGAGGAUGCAUAUUGGUCAACUGGAUGAACAUAAUUAACACUGCAUAAUACUGCAAAGUUGUAACUUAUUUACGCAAGAAUGAAUUCUUAACAUGAACACCAAUUCUAUAACUAUAGUGUUAUAUAAUGUGUUUUCUCAGAAACAUGAGCAAAUCAUUAUUAUACUAGCCAUGUACAUCCCUGCACAGUAUAUGUUACUGCAGCUGAAGCGGGAUAACAAACAGAGUUUAUCCUGCACGUUCUGAGCUGUGUUUCUGAGGGUUUUCUAAGGGUCUCCAGACAUAUCAAAAGAGAAAAAAAAACAAUGCACUAUUUUUGACCCAUACCUAAUUUAGCAACAGUUAGACAGUUACAGUUAUUAAAAAUUAUGCAUUACAUUGUCUUUCAAUCCCUUCGUGCAAUACUUGAGGGAUACAUGCAAAUGUGUAGAACCAGACAUCUUUUUCAGUAUUCCAAAACAAACAAACAAUUAAAUAAAUAAAUAACCUUUUAGAUACUGUGUCUGAUUUAACAUUGACUCUUUUUUUUUUUUGCUGUGCUAUGGAAAAAUGUUUGGUUGGGCUGUGAAACAAGCAUGCUCUGCUACUCUCCACCCAAGGGCAGCCGACAGUGUGUAGGCGUCUUGCCAUGAAACAAUAAUAGAAAUAUCUCUUCAGCAAGCAGUCUAAAGGUCUUUCAGCUUACAGUUUGGUUUGAAACCAGGGCUCAGAUCUUACAGGAAGGCUGACUUUACCCCAGACCUUGCUGAUAAGUGUAGCCUAUAGUCAUAUGCAUCUUCACUUUAACCAUCACUUUAGUGUGCAAGGCUUUGUCAUGUAUAUUCAUCUCUUUUUGUCUGUUUUAAAUGCUGGCCUUAAAUGACCACAACGGGAAGUAAGGCCCAUAUCUCCCAAGUGGUGCAGUUACAAAAGGCCCAGAGUGCAGACCAACUGAUGCAAUAUCACUGCGCACUGCUUGUGCCAAAGACUAAGGCAGAGGUUACUUUAUCUUG